This 332-nucleotide ribosomal RNA is filed under the name uncultured bacterium. RNAcentral's name for it is "bacterial SSU rRNA". It matches the Rfam family "Bacterial small subunit ribosomal RNA", at positions 568 to 898 of the family's 1533-position model. The record is from RNAcentral.
UCCGUAGGCGGUGCGGCAAGUCGGAAGUGAAAUCUCAGGGCUUAACCCUGAGGCUGCUUCCGAAACUGCCGUGCUGGAGUGCGAGAGAGGCGAGUGGAAUUGCAGGUGUAGCGGUGAAAUGCGUAGAUAUCUGCAGGAACAUCCGAGGCGAAAGCGGCUCGCUGGAUCGCAACUGACGCUGAGGGACGAAAGCUAGGGGAGCAAACCAGGAUUAGAUACCCUGGUAGUCCUAGCCCUAAACGAUCAGGACUGGGCGUGGGCCUCGGUACGGGGCUCGUGCCGCAGCUAACGCGUUAAGUCCUGCGCCUGGGGAGUACGGUCGCAAGGCUGAA